UCUCCGUAGGUGAACCUGCGGAGGGAUCAUUACUGAGUGAGGGCUCACGCCCGACCUCCAACCUUUUGUGAACACAUCUUGUUGCUUCGGGGGCGACCUUGCCGGCACUCUGUCGCCGGGCGCCCCCGAAGGUCUCCAAACACUGCAUCUUCGCGUCGGCGUUUAAAACAAAUUAAACAAAACUUUCAACAACGGAUCUCUUGGUUCUGGCAUCGAUGAAGAACGCAGC
RNAcentral lists this unclassified non-coding RNA (229 nucleotides) under uncultured fungus. Its description in RNAcentral is "sequence contains ITS1, 5.8S rRNA gene". The stretch from base 181 to 229 matches the Rfam family "5.8S ribosomal RNA", at positions 1 to 49 of the family's 154-position model. Lineage: Eukaryota; Fungi. The record is from RNAcentral.